AUGAUAUUCUCCAUAAGUAACGUGAUCCACCCGCCCAAGGAUGGCACGCUAGCUGUCACUCCCACCAUACCAAUCAGGAAAAGGAACAACAUCCAUCGUCCAGCAGGUGGUGACGGUGGUGAGGAUCAGGACGUUCUCCUGGCGCGAGAAGGGCAACGUGGUGAACCCCGCGGCCGCUGGAGGUUGAUGAGCCACUUGAGGAAGAAGAAGCUGAGGACGUUGAUGGGCAGGUUGAGCGCCUGUAUGAUGCCGGCCUUCAUCAUGAUGCGCAGGCCGACGAAGCCGAACAUGGUGCCGAGGACCACCGAGAUGGCCAUGGACCGCAGCGUCACCUGGCCCCAUGUCCCCGGCACCGGCGGCUGGCUCUCGAAGACCCGCUCCACCGACGACGUCACGCUCACAUCUCCGAUCGUCGCGUCCAUGGGCGAGGGGCCGGAGCUCUGGCGAGUUCGGUUGGGGGCUCUGGGUGUGGACGGAGGAGUGGUGGUGUGA
Molecule: ribosomal RNA, 492 nt
Filed under: Triticum aestivum (bread wheat)
Lineage: Eukaryota; Viridiplantae; Streptophyta; Magnoliopsida; Poales; Poaceae
Description: partial small subunit ribosomal RNA
Source: RNAcentral